GUGGAAGUGCCGCUCUAGGUCGCACGCCGCGCGCGUAGCCCUAUUUCCGCCGUCGCGGGCUAAGAAAAGGGAGGUCUGGUCGCGUGCUUGUUCUUUUUUGACAUCCCGCGCGCUCUCUCGCCAUCUCUCGAAAUCCUCAAGCAUCCUGCAACUUCCCCAGCUGUCUGCUCUGUCUCCGCCGCUUCCCGGCGCCAGGGCGUCGGGGCCUCGCUGUGAACGCCUCUCCUGCAGACAUGAAAGCUCUCUCCUGGAUGUUUCUUGCUGGUUCUGCAGCAGCCAGCGCCCUCUUCUCUCUGGAUUCCCUCGGGGGCGUUCAGCCUGCAGGGGGAGGAUGUCCCCGGGAUUGUCAGCUGUCCUCUGCCUAGCAGCCCCCUGUCAUUAAGAGGAGGCUGAAAAAGAAAAAAAGGGGAGGCUGGGCUAUGAUGCUCUGAGGUGUGGAUCCUGGAUGCUUCUCCAGAGAGAACAGUGAUGUUCAGCUUCAAGACCAAGGCAAAGGCUGCUUCCUUUUGUUUGCUUCCUCACUGUGGCCUGCAGGGACAUGCUCCCCAAACUCUCCUCCCAUUCUGAGAAGCAGAAGAAGCUUUUGUUAAACACAAUCUUGGUGGGUGCUGUUCAUGGACACCGGAGGGGCAGAGAAUUAAGAGCAAUGUCAUCCUAUGAAGCUUCACUGCCAGCUGUAUGCAGAGAAACGAGGGCCAUGGACAGGAAAGCCCAGCUCCAUCUGUCUGCCUGUAUUUGCAGUAACUUUUUUUUUUAAAGUCAUCGGCUCUAAGUUGAACAGGCUGGCCUUGAGUUUGCCAUCCUCUUGCCUCCGCCUCCUGAGUUGAGUCACUGGCAUAUGCUGUGGUGGCUGGCUCUGGACUUUCCCUUGGUCUUUGUGUUUCUUCCUGUCCCCCUAUCCCCCAUUCAAUAAAUAUUUCCUUUUUUUUUAAUGUUGAUGGGCCUUAAUUAUUUCACUCAUUUAUUUAUGUGCAGUGCUGAGAAUUGAACCCCGUGCCUCACACAAUCUAGACAAGUGCUCUACCACUGAGCAACAAACCCUGUCCCCUCUGCCUGCCUCUUAAAUUAGUAACAACCUAAGUAGGAGGCUGGAUAUGGAGGCAGGGUAUGUGAGAUGUAUAGUCAGGACUAGGAAGUGACUGACUGCUGCUCACAUUCAGGGAUUGUGAGCUGAGGGCUGUGCUAGCUUUUUGUCACUAUGAAAAAAUACCUGGUGUGUACAGAUUAUGGGAGGAAAGAUUGAUUUUGUCUCAACUGUCAGAUUUUAGUCCGUGGUUGCUGGCUUCAUUGCUUUGGACCUUAGAUGAGGCAGGAUGUGAUGAAAGGUGUGGCUGAGGAAAACUGCUUAGCUCAUGGCAGCAGCCCAAAAGCACAGGAUGGAGGCAUAAGCGGGAAACAAAUCGUUCUAGUAACCUUCCUCCAACUAAUCACUGGCUCCCUGUGAUGGCAUCAAAUUAUUAAUCCAUCAGUGGGUUUCACUGAUGAGGAACCAUCCAGUCCCUUUCCAAAAGGGAUUUUAACAUUGCUGUCCUUGUUAACAAGUCUAGCACAUGAGUCUUUGGAGGACAUUUCGCAUCCAGGCCAUAAACACUUCAGGAUAGUCAAGCCAGGAGUUUGAAAGGGUGGUUGGUAUUAGGAAGACCUCGGUGUCCAUAAAUUGAGGGCUUAGGCAGGAAGUGGGACCUCAUUGCUAAAACUAGAAAAGUAGGUAAAUGAACUAGUUGGCCAGCCUCCCAUGGACAAAAACUGCAUGGUGUUAGCGUGAGAAGCUGUGGUGUAAGGGUGUGAGUAGUGUGAACGUGGGCAGCCACUAUUGGAACAGGAUGGGCAGGUGGAGGACUGAUGUGGCUAGUGGGUAAUUGCAGCAAAGAGAUGAUGCAUUAACCAAGUCCUUGUAUCAACUCAUCCCCCUUUUACAGAGGGUCAGAUCUGGGCAUAGAGAAAACAUUCUAAGGGUCAGGACAGAAGGAUGGAUUCUUCCUUGUAAAGAUUUGUUAACAUUUCUAGAAAAUGGCCUCAAAUGAAAGGCCUAAAUAAUAAGAUAAAGCUGGUCCGAUAAGACCUCAGGGACAAACUUGAUCUAUAAGACCUCAGGGACAAACUUGAUCUAAGAUGAACUACAAAUGUCAUUAAAGCUGUGUCUUAUUUUAGUACUGGGGAUUGAAAGCUGUGGCUUCCUGACAAGAAAUCUUUGAUCCAUCCUGGAAUAGACAAAACCAAGGGGGUGGGGAAUAUAGCUUAGUGCUUGCCUCAUGCACUAUCCCAUUGUUAGGGACAAUUGCAUGUUGUCCAUUUGCAGAAGCGUGAGAGAGUCUUGAAGGUUUGAUAUCCAACAGGAAGGUGUGAUAUGGCUAUGAACUGUUAACUGGUCAUGCCUUAAAAAAUAUUCCUGCCAGUGUUGCUUUUGGGUUUCAGCCACUUGCCUCAACAGAAGUGAUUGUUUGUUAGAAGUUUUCCCAAUAAAAAUCAGGCUUGCUUUCAGUGUCAACUCUUGGUGGUUUGUUCUUUUAGACCAGGGAUUGGCAAACUGGCCUACAGGUCAAACCUGGCCCACUGCUCUUUUUUUGGUACCAGGGAUUUAAUCCAGGAGUGCUUAACCAUUAAGCUAAAUCCCCAACCUAUUUUAAAUAUUUUGUGUAGAGACAGGGUCUCCCUGAGUUGUUAGGGCCUUGCCAAGUGCUAAAAGAGCCUUUGAAUUCAUGAUCCUCCUGCUUCAGCCUCCCCAGCUGCUGGGAUUACAGGCAGUGUACCACCACGCCUGGACCAUUGCUUGUUCUUGUGACAUUUAUAGUGACACUCCUUGUCUGGAUAUUUUCUGCAAUGGCAGAGGUAAGUUGGAACAGAGAUGAUAUAGGCCUAAAAUAUUGACUAUCUGUUGCUCUUUGCAGGAAAGU
RNAcentral lists this long non-coding RNA (2894 nucleotides) under Ictidomys tridecemlineatus (thirteen-lined ground squirrel). Its description in RNAcentral is "lncRNA (ENSSTOG00000031630.1)". Lineage: Eukaryota; Metazoa; Chordata; Mammalia; Rodentia; Sciuridae. The record is from RNAcentral.